CCUACGGGUGGCAGCAGUGAGGAAUAUUGGUCAAUGGACGCAAGUCUGAACCAGCCAUGCCGCGUGCAGGAAGACGGCUCUAUGAGUUGUAAACUGCUUUUGUACGAGGGUAAACGCAGAUACGCGUAUCUGUCUGAAAGUAUCGUACGAAUAAGGAUCGGCUAACUCCGUGCCAGCAGCCGCGGUAAUACGGAGGAUUCAAGCGUUAUCCGGAUUUAUUGGGUUUAAAGGGUGCGUAGGCGGUCGGAUAAGUUAGAGGUGAAAUCCCGAGGCUCAACUUCGGAAUUGCCUCUGAUACUGUUCGUCUAGAGAGUAGUUGCGGUAGGCGGAAUGUAUGGUGUAGCGGUCAAAUGCUUAGAGAUCAUACAGAACACCGAUUGCGAAGGCAGCUUACCAAGCUACUUCUGACGUUGAGGCACGAAAGCGUGGGGAGCAAACAGGAUUAGAUACCCUUGUAGUC
Molecule: ribosomal RNA, 460 nt
Filed under: uncultured bacterium
Lineage: Bacteria
Description: partial 16S ribosomal RNA
Rfam family: Bacterial small subunit ribosomal RNA
Source: RNAcentral